CCUACGGGUGGCUGCAGUCGAGAAUAUUCCUCAAUGCCCGAAAGGGUGAAGGAGCGACGCCGCGUGCAGGAAGACGCCCCUCGGGGUGUAAACUGCUUUUACAUGGGACGAAUUCGUGACGGUACCAUGGGAAUAAGAGGCCGCUAACCUCGUGCCAGCAGCGGCGGUAAUACGAGGGCCUCGAGCGUUGUCCGGAAUUACUGGGCGUAAAGCGUCUACAGGCGGUUAGAAUAGUUUCCAGUCAAAUCUUCAGGCUCAACCUGGAGUUCGCUGGAAAUACUUUUUAACUAGAGGGUGGGAAAGGUAAGCGGAAUAGCCGGUGUAGUAGUAAAAUGCGUUGAUAUCGGCUAGAACACCAAAUGCGAAGGCAGCUUACUGGAACAUUCCUGACGCUCACUGGACGAAAGCGUGGGUAGCGAAUGGGAUUAGAUACCCUUGUAGUC
RNAcentral lists this ribosomal RNA (443 nucleotides) under uncultured bacterium. Its description in RNAcentral is "bacterial SSU rRNA". It matches the Rfam family "Bacterial small subunit ribosomal RNA", at positions 338 to 795 of the family's 1533-position model. The record is from RNAcentral.